UAUUAGGUAGUUAACUAAUGGUAUAUCAGGCUCAUAACCUGAAGGUCGUAGGUUCAAAUCCUACCCCCGCAACCA
Molecule: transfer RNA, 75 nt
Filed under: Candidatus Wolfebacteria bacterium
Lineage: Bacteria; Candidatus Wolfeibacteriota
Description: tRNA-Met
Rfam family: tRNA (bases 6-66)
About the family: Transfer RNA (tRNA) molecules are approximately 80 nucleotides in length.
Source: RNAcentral